This 2906-nucleotide ribosomal RNA is filed under the name Enterobacter asburiae. RNAcentral describes it as "23S ribosomal RNA". It matches the Rfam family "Bacterial large subunit ribosomal RNA". The record is from RNAcentral. Lineage: Bacteria; Pseudomonadati; Pseudomonadota; Gammaproteobacteria; Enterobacterales; Enterobacteriaceae.
GGUUAAGCGACUAAGCGUACACGGUGGAUGCCCUGGCAGUCAGAGGCGAUGAAGGACGUGCUAAUCUGCGAAAAGCGCCGGCGAGGUGAUAUGAACCUUUGACCCGGCGAUGUCCGAAUGGGGAAACCCAGUGCAAUUCGUUGCACUAUCGUUAACUGAAUACAUAGGUUAACGAGGCGAACCGGGGGAACUGAAACAUCUAAGUACCCCGAGGAAAAGAAAUCAACCGAGAUUCCCCCAGUAGCGGCGAGCGAACGGGGAGCAGCCCAGAGUCUGAAUCAGCUUGUGUGUUAGUGGAAGCGUCUGGAAAGUCGCACGGUACAGGGUGACAGUCCCGUACACGAAAGCACACAGGUUGUGAACUCGAAGAGUAGGGCGGGACACGUGGUAUCCUGUCUGAAUAUGGGGGGACCAUCCUCCAAGGCUAAAUACUCCUGACUGACCGAUAGUGAACCAGUACCGUGAGGGAAAGGCGAAAAGAACCCCGGCGAGGGGAGUGAAAAAGAACCUGAAACCGUGUACGUACAAGCAGUGGGAGCACCUUCGUGGUGUGACUGCGUACCUUUUGUAUAAUGGGUCAGCGACUUAUAUUCUGUAGCAAGGUUAACCGUAUAGGGGAGCCGAAGGGAAACCGAGUCUUAACUGGGCGUUAAGUUGCAGGGUAUAGACCCGAAACCCGGUGAUCUAGCCAUGGGCAGGUUGAAGGUUGGGUAACACUAACUGGAGGACCGAACCGACUAAUGUUGAAAAAUUAGCGGAUGACUUGUGGCUGGGGGUGAAAGGCCAAUCAAACCGGGAGAUAGCUGGUUCUCCCCGAAAGCUAUUUAGGUAGCGCCUCGUGAACUCAUCUUCGGGGGUAGAGCACUGUUUCGGCUAGGGGGCCAUCCCGGCUUACCAACCCGAUGCAAACUACGAAUACCGAAGAAUGUUAUCACGGGAGACACACGGCGGGUGCUAACGUCCGUCGUGAAGAGGGAAACAACCCAGACCGCCAGCUAAGGUCCCAAAGUCAUGGUUAAGUGGGAAACGAUGUGGGAAGGCACAGACAGCCAGGAUGUUGGCUUAGAAGCAGCCAUCAUUUAAAGAAAGCGUAAUAGCUCACUGGUCGAGUCGGCCUGCGCGGAAGAUGUAACGGGGCUAAACCAUGCACCGAAGCUGCGGCAGCGACGCUUAUGCGUUGUUGGGUAGGGGAGCGUUCUGUAAGCCGUUGAAGGUGUGCUGUGAGGCAUGCUGGAGGUAUCAGAAGUGCGAAUGCUGACAUAAGUAACGAUAAAGCGGGUGAAAAGCCCGCUCGCCGGAAGACCAAGGGUUCCUGUCCAACGUUAAUCGGGGCAGGGUGAGUCGACCCCUAAGGCGAGGCCGAAAGGCGUAGUCGAUGGGAAACAGGUUAAUAUUCCUGUACUUGGUGUUACUGCGAAGGGGGGACGGAGAAGGCUAUGUUAGCCGGGCGACGGUUGUCCCGGUUUAAGCAUGUAGGCGGAACGAUUAGGUAAAUCCGGUCGUUUAUUAACGCUGAGGUGUGAUGACGAGGCACUACGGUGCUGAAGUAACAAAUGCCCUGCUUCCAGGAAAAGCCUCUAAGCAUCAGGUAACACGAAAUCGUACCCCAAACCGACACAGGUGGUCAGGUAGAGAAUACCAAGGCGCUUGAGAGAACUCGGGUGAAGGAACUAGGCAAAAUGGUGCCGUAACUUCGGGAGAAGGCACGCUGAUAUGUAGGUGAAGCCCCUGCGGGUGGAGCUGAAAUCAGUCGAAGAUACCAGCUGGCUGCAACUGUUUAUUAAAAACACAGCACUGUGCAAACACGAAAGUGGACGUAUACGGUGUGACGCCUGCCCGGUGCCGGAAGGUUAAUUGAUGGGGUUAGCGGUAACGCGAAGCUCUUGAUCGAAGCCCCGGUAAACGGCGGCCGUAACUAUAACGGUCCUAAGGUAGCGAAAUUCCUUGUCGGGUAAGUUCCGACCUGCACGAAUGGCGUAAUGAUGGCCAGGCUGUCUCCACCCGAGACUCAGUGAAAUUGAACUCGCUGUGAAGAUGCAGUGUACCCGCGGCAAGACGGAAAGACCCCGUGAACCUUUACUAUAGCUUGACACUGAACACUGGUCCUUGAUGUGUAGGAUAGGUGGGAGGCUUUGAAGCGUGGACGCCAGUCUGCGUGGAGCCGACCUUGAAAUACCACCCUUUAAUGGCUGGUGUUCUAACGUAGACCCGUAAUCCGGGUUGCGGACAGUGUCUGGUGGGUAGUUUGACUGGGGCGGUCUCCUCCCAAAGAGUAACGGAGGAGCACGAAGGUUAGCUAAUCCUGGUCGGACAUCAGGAGGUUAGUGCAAUGGCAUAAGCUAGCUUGACUGCGAGAGUGACGGCUCGAGCAGGUGCGAAAGCAGGUCAUAGUGAUCCGGUGGUUCUGAAUGGAAGGGCCAUCGCUCAACGGAUAAAAGGUACUCCGGGGAUAACAGGCUGAUACCGCCCAAGAGUUCAUAUCGACGGCGGUGUUUGGCACCUCGAUGUCGGCUCAUCACAUCCUGGGGCUGAAGUAGGUCCCAAGGGUAUGGCUGUUCGCCAUUUAAAGUGGUACGCGAGCUGGGUUUAGAACGUCGUGAGACAGUUCGGUCCCUAUCUGCCGUGGGCGCUGGAGAAUUGAGGGGGGCUGCUCCUAGUACGAGAGGACCGGAGUGGACGCAUCACUGGUGUUCGGGUUGUCAUGCCAAUGGCACUGCCCGGUAGCUAAAUGCGGAAAAGAUAAGUGCUGAAAGCAUCUAAGCACGAAACUUGCCCCGAGAUGAGUUCUCCCUGACCCUUUAAGGGUCCUGAAGGAACGUUGAAGACUACGACGUUGAUAGGUCGGGUGUGUAAGCGCAGCGAUGCGUUGAGCUAACCGAUACUAAUGAACCGUGAGGCUUAACCUU